ACGAACGCUGGCGGCAUGCCUAACACAUGCAAGUCGAACGGCUCUUCGGAGCAGUGGCGCACGGGUGAGUAACGCGUGGGAACCUACCCUGAGGUUCGGAAUAACGGCUGGAAACGGCCGCUAAUACCGGAUGUGCCCUGAGGGGCAAAGGCUUGCCGCCUUGGGAGGGGCCCGCGUCCGAUUAGCUAGUUGGUGGGGUAAUGGCCUACCAAGGCGACGAUCGGUAGCUGGUCUGAGAGGAUGAUCAGCCACACUGGGACUGAGACACGGCCCAGACUCCUACGGGAGGCAGCAGUGGGGAAUAUUGGACAAUGGGCGCAAGCCUGAUCCAGCAAUGCCGCGUGUGUGAUGAAGGCCUUAGGGUUGUAAAGCACUUUCGCCGGUGACGAUGAUGACGGUAGCCGGAUAAGAAGCCCCGGCUAACUCCGU
RNAcentral lists this ribosomal RNA (429 nucleotides) under uncultured bacterium. RNAcentral's name for it is "bacterial SSU rRNA". It matches the Rfam family "Bacterial small subunit ribosomal RNA", at positions 29 to 506 of the family's 1533-position model. The record is from RNAcentral.